AGUGAACGCUGGCGGUAGGCCUAACACAUGCAAGUCGAACGGCAGCACAGUAAGCGCUUUCUCUUACGGGUGGCGAGUGGCGGACGGGUGAGGAGUACAUCGGAAUCUACUUUUUCGUGGGGGAUAACGUAGGGAAGCUUACGCUAAUACCGCAUACGACCUACGGGUGAAAGCAGUGGAUCUUCGCACCUUUCGCGACUGAAUGAGCCGAUGCCGGAUUAGCUAGUUGGCGGGGUAAAGGCCCACCAAGGCGACGAUCCGUAGCUGGUCUGAGAGGAUGAUCAGCCACACUGGAACUGAGACACGGUCCAGACUCCUACGGGAGGCAGCAGUGGGGAAUAUUGGACAAUGGGCGCAAGCCUGAUCCAGCCAUACCGCGUGGGUGAAGAAGGCCUUCGGGUUGUAAAGCCCUUUUGUUGGGAAAGAAAAGCAGCAGGUUAAUACCCCGCUGUUCUGACGGUACCCAAAGAAUAAGCACCGGCUAACUUCGUG
This 492-nucleotide ribosomal RNA is filed under the name uncultured bacterium. RNAcentral describes it as "partial 16S ribosomal RNA". It matches the Rfam family "Bacterial small subunit ribosomal RNA", at positions 29 to 507 of the family's 1533-position model. The record is from RNAcentral.